Molecule: unclassified non-coding RNA, 721 nt
Filed under: Hevea brasiliensis (rubber tree)
Lineage: Eukaryota; Viridiplantae; Streptophyta; Magnoliopsida; Malpighiales; Euphorbiaceae
Source: RNAcentral
UCCAUAGCAAGCAAAAUGGGGUUCUUGUCAUUUCUUGGAAGGGUCCUCUUUGCUUCUGUUUUCAUUCUCUCUGCUUGGCAAAUGUUCAAUGAUUUUGGAGAAGAUGGUGGACCUGCUGCUAAGGAAUUGGCUCCCAAAGUGGCUGGUCUGCAGGAUUUUCUUGUAUCCAAGUUGGGGACAGGGAUACCAAAAAUUGAUGUUAGGCAUGUGGUAGCAGCAUUUAUGGCUCUAAAAGGAAUGGGUGGUUUGCUAUUAGUAUUUGGCAGCAUGACUGGUGCUGUUCUACUGAUAUGUUACUUGAUAAUGGCCACUCCACUUCUGCACGAUAUCAGCCACUUUAACAUUGGAGAACCACAGUAUUUCAUUGUUCUACAAGAGUUCCUCCAGUGCCUGGCAUUCCUUGGUGCAUUGCUGUUUUUCGUGGGGAUGAAGAACUCGAUUAAUCGGAGGCUAACAAAGAAAAAGACCCCCAAGUCCAAGACAACUUAGGAUACAUCAUUGAGAAGAGGGGAUUGGAUUGAUUAUUCAUGGUUUGUUUGGUUAGCUUUUAUGAUUACAAGUGACUAAUUAACCCUCUCACCUGCAAAUUUUUGCAUAUUUUUUUUCCUCUUAAAACUAACUGUUAUUGAAUUUAUUGCCAGUGUGAGGAGGUUUUGAAAAUUGUUAUAUUAAGCUGUUGCAAUGUCUUCACUUAAUAGUGUUACUAGUCACAGGAUAUUUG